Long non-coding RNA from Prionailurus viverrinus (fishing cat), 434 nucleotides. RefSeq lists it as uncharacterized. The transcript is spliced from 3 exons. NCBI's taxonomy places the organism in Eukaryota, Metazoa, Chordata, Mammalia, Carnivora, Felidae. The record is from RefSeq and is a predicted model, not a curated record.
GGAAAACAAAAAUAAAACAAACUGGGGGUCAGAGCCCAAUUCAGAAAUCCACUCUAAACUUAGAAGAGUAAUGGGAGGCAACUGCAUGGGACUGGACAAAUCUGAAGAUUACUAGAAGCUAUUUUGUAGAAUUUGGCUAGAAUUGAAGUUAUGCAUUCUUGGCAAGAAUGUCACAAUAGUGAAGAUGUGGCCUUACUAAUGCAUCACACUGGAAGGACUCCAAACUCUGAGUGGGGUGAAGCAAAGACACAUAAACUAAACAGAACAAAAGCAUUUGGAGCACAUUCAUUGCCAUGGGGGAGCCUUGAAGAUACUGACACCUAAUUCGCGCUAAUGAGACAUCUGAGGCUUUCCUGGUUUCUGGUAUUUUUAGAGCCUAGUUCUCCAACUUCCUUUCUAAACUUGUGAGUUUUCCUAAAGUCUUUCAAUAAAUA